Molecule: ribosomal RNA, 253 nt
Filed under: uncultured bacterium
Lineage: Bacteria
Description: partial 16S ribosomal RNA
Rfam family: Archaeal small subunit ribosomal RNA
Source: RNAcentral
UACCAGCACCCCGAGCGGUCGGGACGUUUAUUGGGCCUAAAGCAUCCGUAGCCGGUUCUACAAGUCUUCCGUUAAAUCCACCUGCUUAACAGAUGGGCUGCGGAAGAUACUAUAGAACUAGGAGGCGGGAGAGGCAAGCGGAACUCGAUGGGUAGGGGUAAAAUCCGUUGAUCCAUUGAAGACCACCAGUGGCGAAGGCGGCUUGCCGGAACGCGCUCGACGGUGAGGGAUGAAAGCUGGGGGAGCAAACCGG